Oreochromis niloticus (Nile tilapia) is the source of this 1871-nucleotide RNA transcript. It is a transcript of the gene named glutathione hydrolase-like YwrD proenzyme, with no coding region annotated. NCBI's taxonomy places the organism in Eukaryota, Metazoa, Chordata, Actinopteri, Cichliformes, Cichlidae. The transcript is spliced from 11 exons. The record is from RefSeq and is a predicted model, not a curated record.
AGUAAAGUCCAGUUCUCUUUUUUACUCGUCCGUCAUUUUCAGGUAGUUUCUGCCUGAGUCGCUGAUAUUUGAAACCAGAAUGGGAACCGACCUGACUUUCUCCUCUCGUCGGUCCCCUGUUGUGUGUUUACAUGGCUGUGUGGCCUCCAGCCAACCUUUAGCUUCCAGUAUAGGACUGGAUGUCCUGAAGCGUGGUGGCAAUGCGGCAGAUGCUGCAGUUGCCAUAGCAGCAGCCCUGGCAGUAACAGAGCCGUGCAGCACCGGCCCCGGUGGAGACGCCUUCUGCUUGUUCUACAAUGGAAAGACCGGAGAGAUCAGAGGAAUUAACAGCAGUGGUCGUUUUCCUCGAGCACUGACCCUGGACUUCCUGGAAGGACAAGGUUACACCGCAGAGAACCCUCCUUCAGUGUUUGAUGCUCUGAAUGUCACAGUCUCUGGGGCCCUAGCAUGUUGGUGUGAUACUGUGCAGCUGCUAGGAAGUCACAAGCUGUCCUUACAGGAGGUCCUGAGUGGGGCUGUGGAGCUAGCAGAGGUGGGGUUUCCUGUGGCUGAGUUAACAGCUCACCACUGGGCGAACUGGAAGUCUGCUUUGAGGGAUGCUGGAAAGGGUGGAGAAUUGAUGAUUGACGGUCAUGCGCCCAAAUGUGGACAAGUAUUCCAAAACGCUGGCCUGGCUCGAACUUUGAAGGAGCUCGGUGAGCGGGGCAAGCCAGCUUUCUACCAGGGCAGAGUGGCCCAGGCCAUUGUUGACGUCAUCAACCAAAAUGGGGGAGUCAUGACCUUGGAUGACCUGAGCAGCCAUGACAGCGAGGUCGUCACCCCCAUAAGCACAGAGUACAAGGGUGUAUGUCUGUGGGAGCUUCCUCCUAACAGUCAGGGACUGGCUGCCCUGCUCACGCUCAACAUCAUGGAGAACUUUCCUCAACUCAAAGCUAAAGGCCAUAACAGCUCUGACUAUAUGCAUGUACUGGUUGAGGCUGUGCGAUUGGCUCUAACAGAUGCUCUGCGUUACCUGGGUGACUCAAGUCAUGUGACUAUCCCUUUGGAAACCUUACUGGACAAGGGCUACAGUCACCAGCGAGCACAGCUCAUCAGCACGGACAGGGCCAUGGAGCGAGUGGAGCCCGGCCUGAUGACAGAAAGUGACACGGUGUAUUUCUGCGUGAGAGACAGUGAGAAGAAUGCAUGCUCCUUUGUCAACAGCAACCAUAUGGGCUUUGGGACGGGGCUGGUCCCUAAAGACUGUGGAUUCUCACUACAGCUGGUCAGUGGUUGGUUAACCUGGAGGAGGGGAUCGACCAGAAGGUAGCUGAGGAACUGAAAAGACGAGGACACCGUGUCAACUGGCCAGUGUCAGAAUCAACUUUUUGGGAUCAUUCUCUUGCUCAUUAAUGAAAGCGAUUGAAGAAAAACAGGACAAACACCUUUGUACGUAGUGCAAGAUGUCAGCAAAACAGUUACUUUCGAAGGCCUUUGCUCUCAGUCGUAAUUCAAGGCCACAAGAGGUCUCAGUUUGGGCGGGGGCAGAUCAUCGCAGUGGGGGAUUGGUGGAAUCCGUCUGUCACCCAAGGGGAUCGUCCUUCCAGGGUGCUUUGGGCAGGAUCGGAUCCCAGAGCAGACGGAUGUGCUCAGGGGUACUAGAAAAUGUUCUUGCCUUGUUAAUGUUGUAAUCAAAAGAUUUCAUCAUAGAACUACUUGAAAAGAAAUGCCUACAAAUGAUGUGCAGUACACAGGUUGUUAUUUGGCAGCUGAUAUUUGGCAGUGAGCUUUAUAACUCAUUCAAAAACCACUGUACCUUCAUGAAGUGCCUUAUGGAAUCAUGUUUUUAUGCCUGUGUUCAUUAGAUGUUGAGUUAAAGCACAUUUGCUGGA